RNAcentral lists this unclassified non-coding RNA (307 nucleotides) under uncultured fungus. RNAcentral's name for it is "sequence contains ITS1". The stretch from base 1 to 105 matches the Rfam family "5.8S ribosomal RNA", at positions 50 to 154 of the family's 154-position model. Lineage: Eukaryota; Fungi. The record is from RNAcentral.
GAAAUGCGAUAAGUAGUGUGAAUUGCAGAAUUCAGUGAAUUAUUGAAUCUUUGAACGCACAUUGUGCUCUUUAGUAUUCCUUAGAGCAUGCCUGUUUGAGCGUUAUUUACACCCUCAAGCUCUGCUUAGUAUUGGGCAGCAGACUACCCUCCUCAGGAGUCGCGUCCCGCCUCAAAUACAUUAGCAGCCAGUUUAUUGGCUUUGAGCGCAGCAGAAACGCGUAACUCAGAUCUAGUAGGCUGGGUACUAGAAGGCUUAUUUUAAUGACUUUGACCUUAGAUCAGGUAGGGAUACCCGCUGAACUUAA